The sequence is an unclassified non-coding RNA, 303 nucleotides long. Its record names the gene 7SK. It matches the Rfam family "7SK RNA". Rfam says of the family: 7SK was discovered as an abundant small nuclear RNA in the mid-70s but a possible function has only recently been suggested. Two independent studies have found that 7SK RNA binds the CDK9/cyclin T complex (known as elongation factor P-TEFb). P-TEFb activates transcription by phosphorylating the C-terminal domain of RNA polymerase II. The record is from Ensembl.
GGAUGUGAGGGUGACCUGGCUGCGACAUCUGUCCCCCCCUCAAUCUCCAGGGUUGAUUCAGCUGAUCUGCCGGCUAGGCAGGUUCCACAUUCUCCCUCCCUCAAUGUUCCAUGUGUGACUGUCCCAAAGCUGCACGCUCCUUUGAAGAGAACAACCAUCCCCACUAGAGGAGGACCGUUCUUCGGUCAAGGGUAUAGGAAUAGCUGUGCUCCCCUGCUAGAACCUCCAGACGAGCUCUCAAAAAAGUCAGCUCCGAGGCCAAUAUAAUGAUGGUUAUUGAUAAGGACCUCCAUCUCCCUCCAU